Molecule: long non-coding RNA, 2692 nt
Organism: Papaver somniferum (opium poppy)
Lineage: Eukaryota; Viridiplantae; Streptophyta; Magnoliopsida; Ranunculales; Papaveraceae
Exons: 7
Source: RefSeq, a predicted model, not a curated record
UGAUUAGGGUUCAACUUCUCUGACAAAGAAAUCUCAAAUCAAUAAUCUAUCUAUCCGAGAUUAAGGUCGAUUGAUUUGAUGAUUUCAGAGUUCUCAAAUCCCAAAUGAAUUUCUAAUCUCAAAUCCCAAAAAAUUUCAUUCUUCAGAACUGACCUAGCAGCGUCGUUCACCACAACUUAACUCUCUUUUUCUUCGCUUUAGCGCUUCCGACGACCACCAGCAACUUGGAAAAUCAUAUCCAUUUCACUUUCUCUUUCCAUCUCGAAAAAACCAUCUCUUUUUUCUAGCUUCAUGCAAUACUGAGAAUCCAUUUCUAGUUCGUUCCGAUCUUGUAAUGAGAUCUGAUCUCUAGAGCUUGUGCUUGUAGCGUUUGUGUGUUUGUUUGGAGUUAGUGUUGUCACUUCAUUUUGGUUUUUCUAGAAAAGCUGAAUGGUAGAUUAGAUUGCUGCCGCAGUUUGUUUGUGGAGCUUGUUAUUGACCGGUGCUCGGAGUUGUGGUGGUGCUGAUUAUUGGCUGGUAAUAUGGUGGUGUUUGUUGAUGGCGGCUGGCUGGUGAUGGCUUUGGUGGUCGGGUGAUGUAGUUGGUGGGAGUUUAUGGUGGAUUGGUAAUGGAGAUUUCAGUAAGUCCCAUUAAAGAAAAAACAAAGAUAGCUAAAUUGGACGGUAUUAACUCAUAUGUCACUACAAUGUAUCUCUUUUCGUUCGUUGAACUUUAAGUUUGCUGAAACUUCCUUUAUGUUGUGUAUCUUUUUGAGCUUACAUGCUUCUUUUAAGCAUCCCUGGCCGUUUAGAUAUUGGGGAUACCUUUCUAACUUGCACUUAUCUAACCACUUCAUAUACAUUGUCUAUGCCAAUUUUAUAUCAGGUUCGUCAUUUACGUGAUAGCAAUAGUUUUGUAACCCGAAAUGUGGAAGUUACUUUUGUAAUUUGAGUGCUUCAUUUCAAAUCAUAUAGUUUCCUAUUUAAUAGAAAGUUUUCAGAACUCAGUAUUCAGUAAUCAUAGCACAAAAUCUGUUUCACAGAAGGAAGAGAAUUGGUUUGAACACCAGUAGGAUAUAAAAAUAUCAUCUGUUCUUGCUUCAGAAACGGUAUUGAACUUCCACUAUCUUCUUUAAAAUUCCAUUUUUUCCUGCUCUUAAUAAACUCAUCUUAGGUGAUUGACAUCCAACAUUUUGUUGUUUGGAACCUUAUGAAUCUCUCAUUUACCCUGUUUUUGUGUCCCAGGUUAUAACAGUUGCUCAGAAAAGUGGUGGAUGGUUUGCUUUCAAUUCGGAUGUUGUGGAAGUUGUUCACAAGGUAAUGUUGUUGAAGGGCCAUGGUUUUGAUAAAUUGUUGUGCUCUCGUGGUUUAAUUCAUUUAGUUCAUACUGUUUAAUUCUUUUGGUUUAUACCUAGUUGUAUAUAGUUUUUGACGGUGGUUCUUCUCAGUUGAAGUUACGGUUACAACAACUUAUUUGGUUUAUCAUCUUUGGUGGUCUUUUAGCACCCACCUCCUUCAUAACGCGUUCUGAAACGAUCUCUUUACAAUGACAUUAGGAGGUUUUUAAAAGGAGCUUCCAGCAUUAAUAAGAAUUUAUAUGUGUACCCUGCAAAAGAUAUCUUGCCAUACUGUCAAGCACUAGAGAAGUUCGCUCCUUAUAAUUCAUUUCCACUUUUCUCAUGUCAGGUUUUAAACUUGGGUCUGCGAAACAUAUAGCAGAAGCAAUAGUGAAUAAUUACAGUGUCGUAAGUUUGACUCUUGAAGUUGAAGGACUAAUUGUGGUGAAACAACCCAGGUUCACUACUCCAGUCGCAGCUUAGUAAAUUCGUAUGUUUUGUAUUUCUCCACUGAAUGCACACCUAUCCAUGUCACUACAUUUUAAAUUUGUAAUGGAUGUUUGAUUAUCUUCAUCAUAAGAUAUGGCACCCAGCUACUCAUAUACUCGAAUCAUGUUAGUUCCAUUGUAAGAUAACCAAAAGUCUAUGUUGCUUUUCAUUUUUCUUCUCUAAUUUUUUAUAUCUGGAUUUGCUUCUUACACUGAUUAACAUCUUUAAGUAGUUAUGUCUCGUAAUUUCAUGAAUUUUAACAGUGUAAACUAGAUUUUCUUUUCCUGACUUAUUGCGAAUUUUUUACACUUUCUAAUACUUGUGAAACUAGGUAGGUUUUAGUGAAGGAUGGCCAUCCUGUCCAUUCCAAAAACAUGUGCUCAUAAACUAUUUUGUUUUACUUGCUGUGGUAGAUGAUUUUCUGAGGUCGAUGCUGAUUCUGCAGAAGAAGAGUGGGAUACGACUCUUCUUGUUAACAGUAAUGAAGCUGAAGAAGAGUGGGAUACGACUAAUGAAGGAACCUUAUCAGCCUAAAAGAGAUUGGUUUGGCUAAAUAGGUCCCAGAUAUGAGCAGUAAGUGCCACUACUUACAAGGCUGGUUAUGAAAUAAGAAGCUAUACUUGUUUGAGCAUGUAGGUAAUGAAUGUUGAGCUUGUCUCCAGUCUUGUGCCUUUAAGAUUGUAUCUACUACUGCUAUUACACUUCCCAUUACAACUGCAACUGCAGAAUUUCUAUGAUCUGUAGGAAACGAUUAUAUACUUGUCAUUUUUUUGAUCCUACACACAUUAUUUGUAUAUCUUUAGAACUUAAGAAAUAUUUCUAGCUACAACUUGGAACUUAAGAAAUUUAUGUGUAUUGUCUAAGUUGUUCUUUUCAGAGGUGUCAAAA